CCUGUUUAUCAAAAACAUAGCCUCUUGAAAUCAUCUAUAAGAGGUUCAUCCUGCUCUAUGAUAUUUAUAUUAAAUGGCCGCGGUAUCCUGACCGUGCAAAGGUAGCAUAAUCAUUUGCCUCUUAAUUAGAGGCUAGUAUGAAUGGACACACGAAAUCUUCCCUGUCUCAUAAAUUUAAAUAAAAAUUUCUCUCUAAGUGAAGAAUCUUAGAUAAAGUUGAAAGACAAGAAGACCCUAAUGAGCUUUAAUUCUAUCUACACUUAACACACAAAAUUUAUAAUUAUCAACUUAAAUGUAUAGAAUUUUUGUUGGGGCGACAUAAGAAUUCCAAUGACUUCUUAAUAUUUAUAAAGAGUAAUAUCUCGAUUAAAUUGACCUAAUUUUAAUUAAUCAAUAGCACUAGCUACCAUAGGGAUAACAGACUAAUUUUUCUCCAGAGCCCAAAUUUACAGAAAAGAUUGGCACCUCGAUGUUGGCUUAGAGGCCCCUUAUGAUGCAGCAGUCAUAAACGGUGGGUUUGUUCAACCCUUAAAACUCUACGUGAUCUGAGUUCAGAC
RNAcentral lists this ribosomal RNA (557 nucleotides) under Osedax priapus. Its description in RNAcentral is "partial 16S ribosomal RNA". It matches the Rfam family "Bacterial large subunit ribosomal RNA", at positions 1799 to 2616 of the family's 2925-position model. Lineage: Eukaryota; Metazoa; Annelida; Polychaeta; Sabellida; Siboglinidae. The record is from RNAcentral.